RNAcentral lists this long non-coding RNA (348 nucleotides) under Canis lupus dingo (dingo). Its description in RNAcentral is "lncRNA (ENSCAFG00020017419.1)". Lineage: Eukaryota; Metazoa; Chordata; Mammalia; Carnivora; Canidae. The record is from RNAcentral.
UGGACCAGGAGUGGGAAGGAGUUGGCCUGGAGCCCUGUGAAGCCACAGGGCAGUAAAUAGAUGGCAGCCUGAUGUGCUUGGUUCAGUCUGUCCUGUUACAGGAGUUUCUCAACUUUGUGGAGUUUGGAAUACAAGGCUUCUUGGAAAAGAUUGACUGUAUGCUUACCUGAGAAAGGGUGAUCUUGCUGAAUCUGUCUCCCAAAGCUUUUUUGUAAUCUGAAAUCCUCUAGAUUUCUCUGACCAUUUUGAAGAAUUAAGGAUUAUGGUUAAACUUGGUAAAAUUUUUAAUUUGUAUCUUUCCUAUCUGAAGAAAAUAAAAUUGUUUAAAUAAAAAUGUUCUUGUGUUUG